RNAcentral lists this ribosomal RNA (446 nucleotides) under uncultured bacterium. RNAcentral describes it as "partial 16S ribosomal RNA". It matches the Rfam family "Bacterial small subunit ribosomal RNA", at positions 338 to 795 of the family's 1533-position model. The record is from RNAcentral.
CCUACGGGAGGCAGCAGUCGAGAAUCAUUCACAAUGGGGGAAACCCUGAUGGUGCGACGCCGCGUGGGGGAAUGCAGGUCUUUGGAUUGUAAACUCCUGUCAUGUGGGAGCAAAUUAAAAAGAUAGUACCACAAGAGGAAGAGACGGCUAACUCUGUGCCAGCAGCCGCGGUAAUACAGAGGUCUCAAGCGUUGUUCGGAAUCACUGGGCGUAAAGCGUGCGUAGGCUGUUUCGUAAGUCGUGUGUGAAAGGUUCGGGCUCAACCCGCGAACGGCAGUUGAUACUGCGAGACUAGAGUAAUGGAGAGGGAAGCGGAAUUCUCGGUGUAGCAGUGAAAUGCGUAGAUAUCGAGAGGAACACUCGUGGCGAAGGCGGGUUCCUGGACAUUAACUGACGCUGAGGCACGAAGGCCAGGGGAGCGAAAAGGAUUAGAUACCCGUGUAGUC